GAACGAACCAGGCUAAGACCAAGUCAAGUCCAAGCAGCAAGUCGUCUCUCCCUUUAUGGAAGCAGUAAUCACAGAGGUUCCCUCCUGGUUUUCACCAUGCUGGCAACAAACUCCGGAACGGAUUCAUCACACGGACUCUCACACAUAUGACACAAAACUGAGGCUGAUUAAAGACAGUAACGGUAUACUUAGCAUUGAUGCCACGUAAACAACAUUAGCCAAGGAGGCAGUGACCCGUAGGCUUGAGCGACCAAUGGAGCCAAGUGGGAUAAAAUCUCAUCAUUAUGAAAAUUACAGCUUUUCUGCUCAAUCAGGCGGUGCCUCAUUUUGUGAGGGAUAAAAUAAAUGGCUUUGGGGAGGCCACUGCGACAGGUUAUUUCAUGUAGCAGACAUAAAUUGUGAUUGUUGCCACGCAAUUGUGAAAAUCAGCUUUUUAAGAAUAAAAGUUGUGAAAAUGUCA
Syngnathus typhle (broad-nosed pipefish) is the source of this 460-nucleotide long non-coding RNA. RefSeq lists it as uncharacterized. The record is from RefSeq and is a predicted model, not a curated record. The transcript has 2 exons. Lineage: Eukaryota; Metazoa; Chordata; Actinopteri; Syngnathiformes; Syngnathidae.